Long non-coding RNA from Cygnus olor (mute swan), 253 nucleotides. RefSeq lists it as uncharacterized. The transcript has 3 exons. NCBI's taxonomy places the organism in Eukaryota, Metazoa, Chordata, Aves, Anseriformes, Anatidae. The record is from RefSeq and is a predicted model, not a curated record.
UCAGCCGUGUGCUCAUCCGAUAUCGGCAGGUACCUGUCACGGGUGUCUCCUCCAAUAGUUUUGAACUUCACCCCUGAACAAGUGCAGAAUCCUAAAAACCUGAUAGAAUGUUUGAGAGUCGUAUGCCCUGACCCUGACAAUGCCGGAGAACGACAGCUUGCAGCACUGUGCUAGGUCCUGGCUUACUCCUAUCAAACACUGUUUAACAUCAUCCAGCACCUUGAAGAGAGGGAAGAAGUCUCUGAAUCUGAUG